Molecule: ribosomal RNA, 511 nt
Filed under: uncultured microorganism
Description: bacterial SSU rRNA
Rfam family: Bacterial small subunit ribosomal RNA
Source: RNAcentral
GAGUUUGAUCGUGGCUCAGGAUGAACGCUGGCGGCGUGCCUAAUACAUGCAAGUCGAGCGAACGGACGAGAAGCUUGCUUCUCUGAUGUUAGCGGCGGACGGGUGAGUAACACGUGGGUAACCUACCUAUAAGACUGGGAUAACUCCGGGAAACCGGGGCUAAUACCGGAUAACACAUGAAACCGCAUGGUUUCAUGAUGAAAGACGGUCUUGCUGUCACUUAUAGAUGGAUCCGCGCUGCAUUAGCUAGUUGGUAAGGUAACGGCUUACCAAGGCAACGAUGCAUAGCCGACCUGAGAGGGUGAUUGGCCACACUGGAACUGAGACACGGUCCAGACUCCUACGGGAGGCAGCAGUAGGGAAUCUUCCGCAAUGGGCGAAAGCCUGACGGAGCAACGCCGCGUGAGUGAUGAAGGUCUUCGGAUCGUAAAACUCUGUUAUUAGGGAAGAACAUAUGUGUAAGUAACUGUGCACAUCUUGACGGUACCUAAAUCAGAAAAGCCACGGCUAA